RNAcentral lists this transfer RNA (72 nucleotides) under Candidatus Melainabacteria bacterium. RNAcentral's name for it is "tRNA-Pro". It matches the Rfam family "tRNA". From Rfam's summary of the family: Transfer RNA (tRNA) molecules are approximately 80 nucleotides in length. Their secondary structure includes four short double-helical elements and three loops (D, anti-codon, and T loops). RNAcentral also lists the same sequence under 1 other name. Lineage: Bacteria; Bacillati; Candidatus Melainabacteria. The record is from RNAcentral.
CCGGGGUUAGGUCAUCGGUAGACUGUCUGUUUUGGGAACAGAAGGCAGAAGGUUCAAUUCCUUCACCUCGGA